CUGCGAAUGGCUCAUUAUAUCAGUUAUAGUUUAUUUGUGGGUGGGGGACUAAUUGGAUAACCGUAGUAAUUCUAGGGCUAACUAAUAGUAAAGUCCCAUUGGGAUGUGUUUAUUAGAAUGAAAACCAUAUGCUUCGGCAUGAUAGUGAGUAAUAGUAACCUAUCGUAUCGCAUGCUUAAAGUAGCGAUGAGUCUUUCAAGUUUCUGCCCUAUCAGCUUUCGAUGGUAGCAUAUGGGUCUACCAUG
RNAcentral lists this ribosomal RNA (245 nucleotides) under Blastocystis sp. RNAcentral's name for it is "partial 18S ribosomal RNA". It matches the Rfam family "Eukaryotic small subunit ribosomal RNA", at positions 87 to 348 of the family's 1831-position model. Lineage: Eukaryota; Bigyra; Opalinata; Blastocystidae. The record is from RNAcentral.